UUUUGGUCCUAUUUUUUUUUUUCUAAAAGCCCUGCUUGGGACUUUGAUGCCUACAGAUCUCCUCCAGGCCUGGCCCUUAUGCUCCUCAAAGAGUCGGCACCUAUUUUGAUGACGUGAAGCAUUAUCUGCUCCAAACUCAUAAACAAAAACAAGCUUAACCAUUAACCCCCUCCAUCACAGCACCCCAACCUAUCGCUCUCUGAGAGCUGACUCCUCACAGGGCAGGUUUCUGUCUCUGUUUUCAUCAAUCUCAAGCAGUUUUUUAAACUGUUCACUAGAGUUUGCCCCCUGCUACGUUUAUGAUGUAGCACUACAGAGGCUCUCAGCCUGCCAUGCUGCAUGCUGUGGUGGUUUGGGACUGGCAGAGCUGAAGCCUGUUGGCUGCCUCCCUCUGCUCUCCUACCUCUGUGUAGCUUUGCAGCAAAUCAAAGUGCAACAAAUGGCUUUGCAUCAUGUCUUUGAGGAGCCCUGGGCCUUGUAUGUUAUCUUGAGGGCAGAGUAUAUGCUCCAAUAAAAGAAGGCUUUAUUACCAACUGCAACGGAGCUAAGGAUCCAAACACGUAUCGCCUUGUGAGUUUGUCGUAAACUCCCUUUUAUGGCCCAUCCAGUUUAUGGCUGAUGGAGAUUUACAGUGGGAAGAAGGGGCCGUGUGCUCUAAUUAAUGUGGUUAUUAGGCUGGGAGGGCUCAGCACAGCCAGCCCCGUGCUCGCCCUUCAUCACGGCCCUGCAGAGCACACAGACAGUGUCUGUCCCCACAUGAGGACUCACCGUAUGGAUGGGGAGCUGAGGUCAAUUCUAUGGGCUGCCAGAGGAGCUGAGCACAGUGUGGGGCAGUGGAGGCUGUGCUGAAAAUAUCCCAUCCCUCCUGCUUGGGUGGUGCUUCUGUCAAUUAGAAGUCAUUGCUCCUCAUCCGUCUUUGGGCUCUAGAUGAGUUCUGACCCCAGUUCCAUCCCCACCAUCACUGUGGACCUGGGAUGUGGCCCUGUUAAUAUCAGCCCGACUUCCAUCACAUGCAGCUGUGCUGGAAUGAAGCUACAAAUGAGGCAGAUUUCAUGUGGUUGCAGCUCCUCUCUGGGAAUGCUUCAUGCCGCUUUGCUCAGCAAUUAAAAGCAAGGAGCUGGGGUGAGAACAGUCCUGCUAAUGAUUUGCAGUCCACUCCCUUGAGCUAAGCUGUCUUUGCAGAGCCAAAAUUAUAUCAUAUCAGUCUCCAGAAGCUACCACAGAAGUUAAACAUUAAGUGGCUUAUGUUGCUGGAAACUUCCGUUGGCUUCAGCUUGAUCACAGGUCAAGGAUGCCGUCAUCGAGAGCAGCCUUGAUCUCCAGCAGCCGCCAUGGAAAUGGCCAAGCCCAGAGGGACUGAAAUACAGCAGGGCCAUAAAUCUAGCCCUGUGGGGCAGCCCUGUGCUCCCGACCUCACAGAAGAGUGAGAAUGCUGCUGGAGGAGCCCACAAACCCAGGAGGGGCUUCGGGAGCUGCAUCAGGUGGAAGAGUGCAUCCAACUCCUGAUGCUGGAGAGCAAAGCGCUGAUUUCCCACAUCUCACCCAGCCAUGAGAGCAGAGCCAGCUGAAAUCCUGAGUGCUGAGAGGAUGGUUCUGCCCUGAUUUCACUCUAGGAAUUUCCUGCAAAGCAAAAAAGGCACAGGUUGAGAGCUGCAAGGAUUCUGGGGGCAAAUAUCCAGGAACUGGGCACCCCUUUGAGGCACGGCGAGGUCUGCAAUGGGGAAGGAGAAAAAGAUUCAGGGCUCUUUCUCACCACUAUUAUUAAUAUUCAAAUUAAUUAACUGUGCUGAGGGCUGGAGGAAAUUGAAUGUGGAGAACAACCUAAGCUCUGCUUUAGAUUUUAAGCCAUUCAGGGCUUUGAUGUAAAGCUUGUGCUUUUAUUAUUAUUAUUUUUAAAUCUCUUGAUUUUUUUUUUUCUUUUUAUGCAAACACCUGGCCUGCUUUAGAGGCGAUAUAACAGUAAUAAAUGAUCCUUAUUAAUUGGCCGUUGGCUGAUGGGGAGCAGCAGGCUCCCAGCAAAACAGGGUGCAUUCAUGGGGGUUAUAGAGCCAGGUUUGGGGAGGGGAUAAUGGGGCUGAGCCCCCCCCAGCAUCCCAGUAUGGGGCUCCCAGCCAGGUAGGGAGCUUUGGUGAGGUUAAAUAAUAAAAAAAAAAAAAGCAGCUUUAACGAGGCAGAGCUUAAAUACACGCACUCCCUCUUUACCCAUUUAUUAAGUAAUAAUGAAACACUUUUGUCAAAGCUUAGGCACCAAAUUUCUGACACCAGAUGAGCUCUAAAGCUAAUCAGGGGCUGGAAAAAUGGGAAUAUAAUUAAGGCUGCUGACAGCCCCGUGUCAUUAACCUCACAGCUCUCAGGUGCCAUGCUGAACCACAGCUGCAAAAAAUACUGUAUUACGGGCGGUUGGUUUCAGCUGUGGAAAUGAAUUUGGCUUUUAAUGGCUCUGUAAUGUCUCUGGGGUUGAGGUGGUGGCAGGAGGAGGGUGGUGGUCUGUGCUGGGUCAGCUUGGCUGGAGCUGCUCAGUGGAUUCCUGCUUGUAUCCAGUGUCUUCUGACGUGGGGCUGGUGGUACCUGUGCCACCUACCUGCGCUGUGACUUGGCUUCCCAUCCAACAGAAUGGGAGGUAGCAGUGGGGACCUGGGGGUUCCAGCAUCUCACAAGGCUGUUUCCUAGGCAGGCACUGUGGGACGUGAAAAGGGGGAAGGGUUUGCCUGGGGUGGAGGGAGCUGUGCUACUGCCAGGAAUAGCACCCAGGCAUCCCGUGACCCGAGCUCUCCUGCACAAAAACAUGAUAAGGUUCCCAGCACCGGGCACUGAGCAGCCAUAGGAGAGAGCACUGCUGAGACUGCUGUCGGUGCUGCCUCUGAGGAUGAGCAAAGUACCUAUUAGGAGCUGAUGAGCAGAAUGGCACUGAACCUGACUCAGCUCCAAUGUUAGUCAUCAUUCACCCUCUGCUGUCACUACGGGGAGAUCUGCUGUCCCACACUUCCUAAGUGUGUCUCACGCUUUCUCUGCAGCCUUCUCAGUUUCUCGGGUGCAAAACUCAAGCUUUGGACAACAGCAGGAGCAGUCAGUUAUGUUCUCACUCUGUCUGCUUUGGAAGUCCUGCAGCGUGCUGGUGUGACCACAGCCAUAGGAGCAGGGCAGUUCAGGAUAAAUCAAAAACAAAAGUGCCAUUAUCCAUAUGGGACCUCAGGAGCGCAUCGCGUCCCCCAGCAAUUCCAAGCACUCUGGAUAUGGUUCUCGCUUGGUUUUAACUCAAUUUCUUUGAGAUGCAAAUCAGAGGGAUUAUAUUCAGAGGCUGCAUCAGAAAGUCUUUAAUCCAAAUGGGCUAUAAGAUUUAUUUGGAAGAGCCAAAUGUCUUGUCUGGGACAGAAGCAACCGAGCUGAACUGAAACAGAUGGACAUAAAGGAAAUUAAGCAACUCUAAUGGUCUUAUCCAGAGUUUCAAAGUAUUUGGUCUUCGGAAAGCUCCAGCUCCUGGAAGCACGUGAUGAGAUGGGGAGAUCAAGUUUCAUUUAAAAACAGGCUUUGCAGUUCACUGAGAAAGACAAUAAUAAUGUUUUUAUUCCUCCUGUGUACAGAGGGAAGGCUGCCUUCCAAACCCCAGCUCCUCAGCUCAGCUCAUGACGUCAGAUGGAAGCGUAUUGCACAACGUUUGAAUUCCUUGUCUUCAUCACAGUAUGGUUAUUUCAGUGGGCUGGAUUUGGGAUUUCAGAAGGUGGAUUCUUCCCCGGGUUCUUGGGGUGCCAGGAGGUGAUCGCCCUCAUCUCUGCAAGGGGAAACCAUCUGCAGCCUGAGCAGUGAGCCCUCCUGUUUCCAGCUGCGCCGUGCCCUGCUUGGCUCAGUGCUGAGUACCCAGAGCAGAGAAGCUUCACGUGUCUGUGCCUUGGCCAUCCUUCACCCCAGUGCUUUUGGAUUCGGAUUAAAUAAAAGCCAUCCACCCAAGCCGUAGAGCUGUCAACAUGGGGAAUGACCUUCACCUCCUCGCUCACCUCCAGGAGAUGCUGUGUCCGCUCGGCCGGGCGCAUGGUUGGCUGCAGCAGCACUGCCUGCUGCCCGGAGCCAGAGCAGGUGGGGACCACCUGUGUAUUUCCCAGGUGUUGAAGAGGAGGUGGCAGCAUUGGCUGUGGGUUGUUGCUGAACUCGCUCAUGGAUUGCUAAUGAUGUUUGUGAAAGCCCUGAAUGAAGACCACACACGGGAGGCUCAGG
Long non-coding RNA from Lagopus muta (rock ptarmigan), 4209 nucleotides. RefSeq lists it as uncharacterized. Lineage: Eukaryota; Metazoa; Chordata; Aves; Galliformes; Phasianidae. The record is from RefSeq and is a predicted model, not a curated record. The transcript is spliced from 4 exons.